CAGUAGCCGCGGUAACACGUAGGGUGCGAGCGUUAAUCGGAAUUACUGGGCGUAAAGGGAGCGUAGGCGGUUUGUUAAGACAGAUGUGAAAUCCCCGGGCUCAACCUGGGAACUGCAUUUGUGACUGGCAAGCUAGAGUGUGGCAGAGGGGGGUGGAAUUCCGCGUGUAGCAGUGAAGUGCGUAGAUAUGCGGAGGAACACCGAUGGCGAAGGCAGCCCCCUGGGCCAACACUGACGCUCAUGCACGAAAGCGUGGGGAGCAAACAGGAUUAGAGACCCCAGUAGUCCCUGUCUCUUAUAC
RNAcentral lists this ribosomal RNA (301 nucleotides) under uncultured bacterium. RNAcentral's name for it is "partial 16S ribosomal RNA". It matches the Rfam family "Bacterial small subunit ribosomal RNA", at positions 509 to 807 of the family's 1533-position model. The record is from RNAcentral.